Molecule: RNA transcript, 4912 nt
Organism: Gordionus sp. m RMFG-2023
Lineage: Eukaryota; Metazoa; Nematomorpha; Gordioida; Chordodea; Parachordodidae
Gene name: tetratricopeptide repeat protein 17-like
Exons: 26
Source: RefSeq, a predicted model, not a curated record
GCUAUAUAUCAUUACACAGAUAUUUAUCAUAUGAAAUUAUUUAUAUUUUUAACUUUUUCCUACAUCCAAAUAGUUAACAUAAUAUGUUACACGCAUUGGCUUGUAACUGAUAAACACAAAAUACAUGCUCAAGCUGACUCAAUAUAUGCAUUAAAACGUCCACAUGAUUUAGUAACUUUUUUGGAGCAAGAGAGGCGUGCUUCAAAAAUGGAAUAUUUAAAAAGAGAAUUAUUGCAUCAGAAACUUAAUUUAGAUAUAUCUAAUGAUGUUAAAGAUCUGAGUGAUAUUGAUACCUGGUUCUAUAAAAAAGAUGCUGAUUGUCAAUUAGCUGCUAAGCCAUUGGUUCAGUUAGACUUAUUUGCAAGCACUCUCAUAACUCCAGAAUCUCUUGGAUUAGACCAGAAUGAUUUUAUACCAUUUCAUUCUGUUACCAAAACACCUACCAAGCCAGAAUGCUCCAAAAUUAUAGAUCUUCCAUAUAAUGAUUUAUCUUUUGAUUAUCUUGAGUCAAUCAAAAAACGUAAUACAUUAACCAUUCCGCCAGAAAAUUCGAUAAAAAUAGUUUUGCCGUUUGUUGAAAGUAUAGCCGAAUACGGACAUCUUAUAAAUGAAGCAUUGUUUAAGAAUCAAACUUCCUGGAUACUCUACGACAUGGCCACUUUUUAUUGGAGGAUCAAAGGCGAAGCAUCCAAAGCAAUCGAAUGUGUCAGACGCUCUCUUAGCUUCUCUUCUAAUCAGUACAAGCCAAUAGCUAUGACAAACUUAGCCAACAUUUUAAGCCGGGCCGGUUACCCGGAAGACGCAUUGCACGUCCUUUUAACAAUAAAAAACUUGUCAAGACCUUUCAACGAUUUUCUAGUCCCGUAUAUGCUUGGAAACCUAUAUGCUCUCAUGACUAAUUACACGGAAUCGAUCGAAGCGUUCAGGGAAACACUGAAACUGAGGCCUGGAUUCAAACCGGCUAUACAACGCCUGCACGCCGUUUUAUGUCACAAUAAGCUCAUACAGGCACUCGAGGACCAACAUAAUUCUCUACAACAAACUCUCAAUAAACUUCAAGAAUUUCAAAAAAAGCACGAAACGUGGACAAAAUUGUUCGAAAAAAUUGGCACCGAAAUCGUUCCUUUAGAUAUCAGGCUCAAACAGCUGUCUGUGUACGAGGAUUUAAUCACGUCCAACCCAGAGGAUUACGAUAUGAAAUCAUUCAAUUCAAAAUCCCUGGAAUUCCCAAAGCAUGAAUCCGACGACGAAGAUACUGGAGGCUUCAAUUACAAACGCACUAUUAAAUCUAAUGCUAAGGGUCGUUUAAAUAAGCUCGAACAAGAGAAUGAGGAUGACGAGGACAUUGCAAAUGGGAAGGUGGAAAGUAAAGAAAAUGACCAGUAUCUCUCGCCAGAACCAAAAUUUACGGUCGAAACGACUAAAUGGCACAGAGCUAAAAGCAACAAAGAAUGGUAUAUUCCCCCAGCUUCGCUUUCUUUACUCACGGAUCGUAGGGUAGUUAUAGAAGCCGAACUUAAACGUUUACGGAAAGCGUCAUCUCGCGAUCAUACAACUUUUCUGGACAAGGUGGAAUGCUCCCAACUUUUCAAACACUUUUUACCUAUUCAGAAUAGAGACUAUUUCAGGAGUUACAAGUUGACGAACGUAAUGGACACGGAAGAAAGUGAGCAAGAUGAAAAAAGAAACUACCACAACGCUAACAGGGAAGAUGACGACUUUCUCGGCGUGGCUGCCGGCUAUAUGGCUCCCGAAAGCAAAGGAUGGACGGAAACCUUAGCAUUGUUGAAUCACAAGCAAGGUUUGGCUUUACCUCUCACAACCUCUUUCGAAGAUUCCGAAGCAUCGUUAAACAAUCAGGAAUUAGAGAUAGACCCAGAGCCCUAUCACCAUUCCUUUCCAUGGAAAUCACCAGUGUGUUCCGAUUUUGGGAAGAUAGAUUGUAGACCAUCUCAAUGCCACCAGAAUCUGACAAAAUCGCUGAGCGAUAAAAUAGAGGCCUACGAGAAAUGGACAAUGGGCCAGCCUUAUAUCGAUAUAGACCUUUCUUUGUCUAAAGAUCUACUCAGUUACAUCGAUACAGAUUAUGAACUCAACGAAGAGGAAGUGGGGCAACGUAUAUUGACCGCUUUGAAAAUGGGAAACGAAAAGGAUUGGUCUCUUUACAACCUAGCAGCUUUGUAUUGGAGAAUCAUGGGCAAUGUUAGCCAAUCACUAGAAUGCCUCCACAGAUCUUUCUACUACUCUCCUCUAAAAUACAGGAUAGUUCCGUUAUUCAAUAUGGCCGCAUUACUAGCCAAAAAUCUUAGGGCUUAUAAUCAUAGUCUAACUCUCCUUAAAGAGGCAUCUACCUUAGAUAAGUAUGACACGAAGGUGACCAUGUUGAUGGCCCAUCUGACUUACCUAACGGGCAAUAUGACGGCAGCUUCCCAUUACUACCAAGAAACAUUAUUUUUAGACGCUCCCCUCAAUUCUCCUCAUUCCAUCAACAAAGAAGCCCUCAUAGGAUUCGAGCUGGUAGGCUGUAGAUUAGCUUUCCCUGAUCAGUACAAAGAUUUGGAACAAUCACAUACAUUAAACGAAACAAUUUACGACGAAUCGCUCGAAAAUGGCGAAUACAGCGAUUAUUUUGAUUACGAUGACCGCAUGCUCAAUUUCGAAACUUUCGAAAGUUUCAACCUGACCGAGGAGAGUGCCGAUGAAAAUGUUAACAUGAAUACUCACCACUUUAACAACGUUGACGAAGAUAAAAAUCGUGUUAAAUCUAAAGAAGAUUUUGUACCAAUACUGCCAGUGGCCGAAAAGUUGUUCGAUCUACCUUCUGACACUAACGAUCCUAUUCACCAAAGAUUAUUGGACGAAACAUUACCCAUUGUGCUCAAACCGAAAGAUGUCGAAAUAUUAAAUCCGUUUCUUCAUUACAACAUACCCAAAUACGAUAUUGGUUUGGAGAAUGAUGAUUGCCUUAAUGCGAUAGCUAUCGAUUUUUCCAAUGUCCCGAGCACUUGGCUUUCCAUACCCCAAGAACUGAUCGAUUCAUCUAUCUCUCAAAAUUUGGUAGACGAGUGCGUCAAAUUUAUCAAAAUGGACUCUCCGCAUCCUCCUUCGCAUUUGAAUGCGGAGCCCAUCUGCCACCUCUCGAAGGCGCAUUUCAAUAAGCACCAUAGAGCUUCACAAAAUGGGGGAGAAACAGAUUUGCUCCAUAUUUUAAACGCGCUCGUUAGAGAAGCCCGCCGUAAAGAAAUGCUAGCGGCGUCUAACAACGAGAAAGGCUCGCUAGUCCAAAUGAGAUCGCUAAACUCGGAGACCGGUUUGAUUCCGAUUCUCAAAAAAGUAAUUUCCGCAAAACUGACCAGAGCCUUGGCCGACGCUGACAGCGUCACGGAUGAGUCAUUACUUUCUGAUUCGGAGAAGGAAAAGUUUACGAAUAAAGCCAUAAUGGAGGUAUUGAAAAGAGGUCUCUCUAUUGACCAACCAACAACGUCUUGGGUCGUACCCGCUUUAACCUCUUUGUACUGGAGAGCUAACGGCAACACAUCCCAAGCCCUCGCAUGCCUAUACCUUUCUUUAUCUGCUGCUCCUGAUAAAUUUAAAGCUUCCUCAUUGGUUAGUUUGGCUAACUUGUGCCACAAAACCCAAAAUUACUCUUUAGCUAUAUUCGCUAUCAAAAAGGCUUUGCUAUAUUCGCCCAAGGCUAUCAUUUCCCAUUUUACUAUGGCUAAUAUGCUAGCAGCGCAAGCGCGUUUCCUAGGUCGCAUUUAUAGUGGCAUCCGAUACACGAUUUAACAGCUGAUCGAUUUUUUUAAAAUCCGUUCAUGAUAUAGAUUUUUGUAUAUUAGAAUUAAUAUACCUUCGAUUAUUAUCAUGAAUAGUUGGUCGAAUAACAUUAUGGGGGGAAAAUAUUCGAGUAUAGAAAUUGGAAAACCGGAAAUGUAUUCCAUUCCAGCAUACGUAUAAUGCCUACCCUUAGAAUUUCAGACAAAAUUUCGCCAUUUUUUUUAAAAUUUUUAUGAAAAAUGUAUAUAAAUAAGAGAAUACUUUAUAAGUUCUGGGCAAAAAUUUUCUUAAAUUUGCAUCACAGUAUGGAAGAGGCUUUAUGCAUGUUGGAAUAUAGAUGACUGAGUAAAGAGAUGCGCCUUGAUGGAAGUAGGAGGAACAGACUUCGAGGAAAAUCUGAGAUUACGUGGGUAAAGAUGAUAGCGGCUGAUAUGAGGAAAAUGAAUCUUACAAAUAUUAUAGGGGAAUCUAGCUUAUUCGGGUAAACCUGGAAAUGGCCAUUAAACGAAGAAGAAGAAGGAUAUAUACAUUAGCGGUCAAAUCAGAUAUUUUUCAAAUUCAAAUCCUUUCAUUAAGUGAUUUUUAUAAUUGAAAGAUUCCAAAUCCCUCAUGGAUUCCGUCACCUAAUACUAGGGCAACUUAGUUUACACAUGCCCUAAUACACUUCCUAUUAAAAACAAAUCAAACAUUUCAAAAAAAACGCGCUAAAAUAUUGCUUAAACUCAUAUUUGUUUUUUUAUAUAUAUUUUGAGGAUUAGAACGAACAUAUAUUCCAAGUAUGUGUUUUAAAAAAACAAACUAUUCUUUAACUUUCAGACAAUGCUAUAGUUCAAUAUAUAUAUAUAAAAAUUCGGCUUGAAAACGGAUCUUCAGAAAAAAAUAUUCUCAUAUUGGUUCGGCUCGUGUUGGACCCGGAAAAGAAUAGGUCUGAAUGCAGAGUUCCAGUAGGAACAUCAUUAACGUAUAGAUCGAAAAUAACAAUUUGAGAGGAGUGCUUUACAUAGGCGAUUUUGAAAACGCGCUUUUAUACUACGCCUCGACCAUUUCGUUGCAAGAUUUCACUCCCGCUCGAGUCAAAUUGCAAACCAUUCUUUGUUUCCACGUGGAUAGAAUAGCGGUCUCAUUGAAAAUGCUC